Molecule: long non-coding RNA, 562 nt
Organism: Xiphophorus couchianus (Monterrey platyfish)
Lineage: Eukaryota; Metazoa; Chordata; Actinopteri; Cyprinodontiformes; Poeciliidae
Exons: 2
Source: RefSeq, a predicted model, not a curated record
GUGGCAUCAAUUAAGUCACUCCUUGGUUACCUAGCAACAACUUGUUGAGUAACUGGCACAGCAGCAGUUUAUGGUUUCACCACUGAGCCUCAUAACUGCUAAAAAAUAAACAGCAGCAGCUUGAAAACUGUGGAUAAAACAGAAAAGGUCGUGCCACCAGUCUGCCAGAAUUUCAGAUAUUUGAAACAAAAAGCUAAUCAAUAAUUAUCAGUAUCUUAUAUGAAAAACCUAUAUUGUAAUGCAUUUUUCAGCCAUUUCAUUGAUCCCUACUACACCAGAUUAACUUUUAGUUUCAAGGAAGCCAAGGGACAGAAUCUGUCGGUCUGCAUGCAUCCUUUAGUUCUGGAGCCGAGUUUGAACAUCUUCACAGUCACAGCUUUCUGGACAAGACAUCUCUGUGGCAUAUUUUGGCAAAGCUCAGACAGAAAACUCACCAGCUGCUCAAAAAGACAAGGCUAAACUAUUUGAACAGCCGUCUUACAGGAUAUCUUGGGACUCCAGGUUGAAGCCAGAUAGAGAUUGAGCUGGAAAAAAAUGUAAUAAAACAAGUUCACAGUUUCAA